CGCUCUUUUACUUUCAAUUUAUAACGGCCUACAAUUCUAUAAAGUGGAUUGUGAAAUAUUUUAGUGUGUUGCUGAUUUUUAUUUCACUGGACUGCAGUUUUGAUUUAUUUAUAUUAUGAAAUUAUUUGGUGCUAACGUCCGUAUACUUUGGAUCCAAAUAGUAUUAUGUACUUGGACACUAGUACAAGGAAAUCCCCAGGGUGAUACUACCGAUGCUAAUGCAACGCCUGAUGAUUCCACUAAAGACGACAACAAAGACAAAGAUGACAACAAGGACCAAUCCGGUGAUGCGG
Long non-coding RNA from Ostrinia nubilalis (European corn borer), 293 nucleotides. RefSeq lists it as uncharacterized. The record is from RefSeq and is a predicted model, not a curated record. Lineage: Eukaryota; Metazoa; Arthropoda; Insecta; Lepidoptera; Crambidae. The transcript is spliced from 5 exons.